GGCUUAAUGGUCUAGUAGUAUGAUUCCUCCUUCGGGGUUCGCCUCGCUUUGAUUGCGAAGUAUAUGGAGGAGGUCCUGGGUUCAAUUCCCAGUUAAGCCC
Non-coding RNA from Termitomyces sp. T32_za158, 100 nucleotides. Lineage: Eukaryota; Fungi; Basidiomycota; Agaricomycetes; Agaricales; Lyophyllaceae. The record is from the annotation of a GenBank genome assembly.